AGCGAACGCUGGCGGCAGGCUUAACACAUGCAAGUCGAACGGGCGUAGCAAUACGUCAGUGGCAGACGGGUGAGUAACGCGUGGGAACGUACCUUUUGGUUCGGAACAACCCAGGGAAACUUGGGCUAAUACCGGGAUAAGCCCUUACGGGGAAAGAUUUAUCGCCGAAAGAUCGGCCCGCGUCUGAUUAGCUAGUUGGUGUGGUAACGGCGCACCAAGGCGACGAUCAGUAGCUGGUCUGAGAGGAUGAUCAGCCACAUUGGGACUGAGACACGGCCCAAACU
This 284-nucleotide ribosomal RNA is filed under the name uncultured bacterium. RNAcentral's name for it is "partial 16S ribosomal RNA". It matches the Rfam family "Bacterial small subunit ribosomal RNA", at positions 29 to 337 of the family's 1533-position model. The record is from RNAcentral.